This is a long non-coding RNA of Mastomys coucha (southern multimammate mouse), 1257 nucleotides long. RefSeq lists it as uncharacterized. The transcript has 6 exons. The record is from RefSeq and is a predicted model, not a curated record. NCBI's taxonomy places the organism in Eukaryota, Metazoa, Chordata, Mammalia, Rodentia, Muridae.
CAGUAUCAUCGAAAUAACAGAAAACAAGACGUGGGCAGAUAGCAGGUUACUUCAAAUGAUUAAAGGCCUUCAGUUUCUGCUGAGAGAGCAUGGUGGAUUACACUAUGGGUCUUGAUUCUUCACUGCCUGAGAAGACUAUAUAUCAUAUCCUUUGCCAUAUUACUUCCAAUAGCUCUCCCAACACGAGAUGCACACAUCCUUGUCUCACCAAUGAUGGGCUUGAUUGAUGACUUGUGCCAACAAGGUGGCACAUGCCUAUGUGACUUCAUCUGGUUCCCCAUGGAGAACAGGUAGCUAGCUUCAACAUGUAACUCAGAAGGAACCACCUGGAACAAACUUGAACCUGAUGCAAAAGGAGAUGCCCAAUCCACUUGAAGAUAAAUCUCAGCCUUGAGCAAUUGCCCUAGAAGACUAAGAGUCCAAGACAAUAAAGUGAAAGCAAAAGCAAGAGAAAGACAGUCUGUUAUGACAAAACAGAAAGGGGCUCAGGGCUUCCUUGAAAGCACAGCUGUUACUAUUCACAGCACUAAGGAAACAGAAAGAAGGCAUGGAAUAGUUUAAGAGCCAUUUCCUAGUAGGGUUUCCUGUGCUAUCAUAACGCUAUUUACCAGAGGCAAUUAUAGUGAAUACUUUGUUUUCUUCCAGAUGUUUUCCCAGAGGCAGCCUCUACAAAUAUCAGGGGACUGUUGCAGUUUCUACUUGAAAACCCCAAGGUAUUUCUUUCUGGCCUUGCAUUGCUGGGUCUGCUCCAGUACUCCCAAAGUGUCAUACUCUACUGGAACUCCACAGAACAUCCUUCUGUGCUGUGCUGACUAGUUUUAUUUCAACUCGACAUAAGCUACAGCCAUUUGGGAAGAAGGAACCUCAACAGAGACUGAAAGGGAGGCAAGCCUGUGGUGUACUCUUGACUGAACAGGACCUGCAUCCUAGAGGAUGGAGCACAGCUCAGUGAUGGCUGAGUUGCCAGGCACUUUACACUGGGUCCAAUAUCCAGCAACAAGUCACUAAGAAUCAAACCCACGGCCUCCUGCAAGCAUUCUACCAGCAUACCACAUGCCCAGAUAGCUCCUCUUUCUGACAAGGUUUAAUCUGUCACCUAGUAUCAGGUGUUCUACGGACUUCAGAGGAUAUAAUGGGUAGGCUAAACUACUGAAAAAUAUUGGGCUGGUGAGAUGGCUCAGCGGGUAAGAGCACUGACUGCUCUUCUGAAGGUCCUGAAUUCGGAUCCCAGCAACCACAUGGUGGCUCACAACCACC